RNAcentral lists this ribosomal RNA (253 nucleotides) under uncultured bacterium. Its description in RNAcentral is "partial 16S ribosomal RNA". It matches the Rfam family "Bacterial small subunit ribosomal RNA", at positions 524 to 776 of the family's 1533-position model. The record is from RNAcentral.
UACGUAGGGUGCGAGCGUUGUCCGGAAUUACUGGGCGUAAAGAGCUCGUAGGUGGUUUGUCGCGUUGUCCGUGAAAACUCACAGCUCAACUGUGGGCGUGCGGGCGAUACGGGCAGACUGGAGUACUGCAGGGGAGACUGGAAUUCCUGGUGUAGCGGUGGAAUGCGCAGAUAUCAGGAGGAACACCGGUGGCGAGGGCGGGUCUCUGGGCAGUAACUGACGCUGAGGAGCGAAAGCGUGGGGAGCGAACAGG